GGGAACGUGUAUCGGGUCGUCUCGCGCUUUGUGGGAGUUUUGUUGUUUUGCUAUGUGGGACUAUAUUGCCUUUGUGAGCUAUGACACUCCCUGCGAAGGUUUGUAGCUUUACUUUCGAAGCUAAUAUAAGCUGUUGAGCCUUGGUGGGAGGAAAAAGCUCCAAACGCACCACUUUAAGAGCUGUAAUAGUUACCGCGAAGGUCCGUAACUUCAUUGCUGAGGUAUCAAGACCACUAAACCCACCUAGAAGAAAAACUCGGAACACACCCAAACGUAAUAAUGAAACAAAACUCCGGAUACGCCACUUUUAAGAACUGUUACUACCGCGAGGGUCUGAGGCUUCCUUUUUGAAGUCAGACUAAGAACCCACCAAUUCCAGACAGUUUUAUGUUUAACUCAAUAUGGUUGUUUUUUUCGUGUUUAACUGUAUACACAAAUGUUUUAAUUGCAUGAUACGUGCUCUGGUUUCCUUUGGUUUACUUCCCUGUGAUCUGUCACUUAGGUAAUUACUAAUUUUUCACAGUUGUGGGCGACAUGCUGAUUUUUGUGCAAGGGUGCGUGUGUUCUGUCUGUACUACUGGAAACUGGAGUUCCAUGACACCGCAGCAUACUUCUAGGGUCUUGCACACCUGGUCUGGCUUCAGUAAGGGAAUAAACCAAGUCUAGAGUGCAAUUAGCGUUUGAAUUAGUGACAUGAGGAUAAACAGGUGAUUAUCCCAUCUAAUAGCUGUUGAAUGGUGUUAGAGAUACUAUCAGACCGCUUGAGCUUCAAACGUAGGGGUUUAUUGACGAUUAAGAAAGGACUAUGGGACUAUUGGUUUAAAUAAAUGAAAAUAGGGUUUCCAAAAUGAAGUUAUUUCUAAGUGCUUUAAACCAACUGAUUCCAACUUCUAAAGUUGCUUAAAAGGUGAAGAGCAGAAAUCACAUUUGUACUUCCUUUUGUCUGAAGCGCUCACAGUGUUAAGUAUAGACAUUCUUACACACUUUCGGUUAGGUGAAGAACACAUAAAAUUCAGUAACUGCAUUUUGCCCACGGGGAGACCAAGUCAGAACUCUCUACAGACUUCCACAGAGGUCACAAUCAGACACUGAAGAGACAAAAUUAGAACUCAGUGUUCUGGGCUUUAGAAGGAUCAGCUUCUAAAACCAACACUUUUUCUCUCUGAAAUCUAUAUUGAGAUUUUUAGAGUUAGCAACAGGUGAGAACAUUUUUAUUGAUGUUUGGCUUCACAGUUUUAAUUACCUGUUUUGGAUUAGAGCUUGUGGGAGUCUGCAGUCUGAGUUGGUGGGGACCUGAUGGAAUAUAUUACAGCUGCUAUUUUCAUAAAAGUUUAUGCUUAACUUUUUUUGCCUUAAGUUUUGGGUUCGUGGAUUUAGGGUCAACACAGGAUUACAACGGUCUAGGUUUUCCAGAAUUGCCACAAAAUUCAGUAAAACUUUCACUGAGCCACCCUUCUUGGUGAAGAAGUAAAACCUUAGCAAAAGAAAUGCUGGGAAGAGUGUGACUUUGAUAAAUGCAAAUAUGACUUUCUUCCAUGUACGUGUGUAGCACUGAAACAAAUUUGGUCUAUUCCUUUAAACAUAUACAGUACAAAUGUUUUUCCUUUCAAACAAAUAGAAAUCAUUACCCUUUACUGAUUUUAGAUAAUUCACAAAAUGAGUUCUGUUUACCAAUCAAGUAACUCAUGCUGGUGUUUAUAUCUGAGGGAAAAUUAGUGAACUCACAUGUCUGGCUAGCCUGGCCUCUGAUUUGCAUAUAUGUAAAUCAGUCCCUUUCAUUUUUUUCAUGAUCAGCCUGCUAGUCCAAGGGUUAGAUCAUCCUGAACAGUAAGCUGGCACUUUAUUUGCUUGUAAGAGAGAACUUAUACAUCUGCUAUACAAUCUGCUAUACGUUUUUGGAGGCGAUGAUGAGCAGUGAGGAGGAGGGCAAGGACUGGCUUAUGGUGGAUUACACAGACUUACUGUAUAUAUGGCCCAGAUGCUACGUGGAAGACUUACACAAAAAUUCCUUGUUUUUGUGAAGGUUAGACUUAACUAGGCAUCUGUAUUUUUUGUUUGCUAAAUCAAGUUAGCUAAGCAGGUUAGUGCUGGCCACUCUUUACUGGCCAGGCGUCCUGGGGGGGUCUUCCCAGCAAGCUCUACAGAAGCAGCGCGGCUCUUCUCUCGUGGGUGUGGAUCUUGAGAUGGGCGCGCUGCUCUGAUGCGGUGCUGCGUCUCCCUUCAGGAAGAAGAUGGGAAUCGUACCAGUUCACAGAGAUCUUCCUGGUCCUCAGUUAAUACAGAAUAUUAAUGAAACUUAUCACUUUAAAUGAACCCAGGUAGCCGCCCUUGUCAUCUUAACUACCAACGAAUGUCUUCAGGCCGUUAAGACAGGGCAAAGGGGUGAGAGGAUCGGGUGGGGCGAGAGGAAAGCCUGGCCCGUGCGGGGGUCAGACCUUCAUUCUGCCGUCAGCUGUGCUGGAGACUCUCAGCAAGGGAGAGACGUGGCGUCUCUGAGUGGUUUUUGCCCUAAAGGAUGCUUACGGUCAUAGGAAGCUUUUCCAUGUGUUUCCUUCAUGGGUGUCUACGGCUUUUGUUUUCAGCUGCGCUUUGCACAGGGGCUGGAAGGCUAACUCCCCAAAAGGGAACUUCCUCUCCUUCUAGAAACUGACCCCUGGUGGUUGCUAUAGCAACUGCAAAGCGAGAAUAAUGAGCUGUGUAAACAAGCCCCAUUCCCAGUACUGGGGCGUUGCUAGCCCUCCUUAGAGAGGGCGAGGGAGAGGAGGAUGCUGUGCCUGGAAAGCGGCUCUUGAGGAGAGCUGGAAUCUCGGCAAAGCGUCCACUCCCUCCCCUCCCCUUUCCUCUCACCUCUAGUGUUCCCACCAGCCCCGGGGAGGAGACAAAGGACGUGGGAGGGCAGCAGCAUGCAGGGGGCCUGCCUUUGACGCCCAGGAGUUGAACACCAGACAGAAAAUGAAAUCUAAACAUUUACCCAGAGCCCUGGGCUAGAAAUGGGCCAACCUGACCCUGGAAAACAAACAACCCGCGUCACCGCCACACCUGCUGCAGGCCCCAGAUGCCACAGAUGAGGUUUUGCUCUGUUGCCCAGGCUGGUCUCAAACUCCUGCACAAGCAAUCUGCCUGCCCUGGCCUUCCAAAAGUCCUAAGAUUUCAGGUGUGACUCACCGCGCCCAGCCUCAGGUUGCCUUAAAGAAAAGUUUCUGUAUAUUAAAUAUAAACUAUAUGAUGCACAA
This 3233-nucleotide long non-coding RNA is filed under the name Homo sapiens (human). RNAcentral's name for it is "HSALNT0332138". Lineage: Eukaryota; Metazoa; Chordata; Mammalia; Primates; Hominidae. The record is from RNAcentral.